GGAGUCUAACAUGUGCGCGAGUCACUGGGAUCUCGGAGAAAACCCAGAGGCGAAGUGAAAGCGGGGCGCACCCUUCGCGGUCGCCUGGGGAGGACGGCGUCGGACCAACCGGCGCCCGCACUCCCGGGGCGCCUCGGCCUCCGGCCGCAGGCGCACCCGGAGCGUACACGUUGGGACCCGAAAGAUGGUGAACUAUGCCUGGUCAGGACGAAGUCAGGGGAAACCCUGAUGGAGGUCCGCAGCGAUUCUGACGUGCAAAUCGAUCGUCAGAGCUGGGUAUAGGGGCGAAAGACUAAUCGAACCAUCUAGUAGCUGGUUCCCUCCGAAGUUUCCCUCAGGAUAGCUGGCGUCCAUUUCGACCGGGACGAGUCUCAUCCGGUAAAGCGAAUGAUUAGAGGCCUUGGGGCCGAAACGACCUCAACCUAUUCUCAAACUUUAAAUGGGUGAGAUCUCCGGCUUGCUUGACUGAAGCCGCGAGGUCUGGAUCAGGGUGCCAAGUGGGCCAUUUUUGGUAAGCAGAACCGGCGCUGUGGGAUGAACCAAACGCCGGGUUAAGGCGCCUAAACCGGAGCUCACGGGAAACCAUGAAAGGCGUUGGUUGC
This 602-nucleotide ribosomal RNA is filed under the name Deropeltis cf. paulioni DJGI-2006. Its description in RNAcentral is "eukaryotic LSU rRNA". It matches the Rfam family "Eukaryotic large subunit ribosomal RNA", at positions 670 to 1231 of the family's 3401-position model. Lineage: Eukaryota; Metazoa; Arthropoda; Insecta; Blattodea; Blattidae. The record is from RNAcentral.